Molecule: ribosomal RNA, 404 nt
Filed under: uncultured bacterium
Lineage: Bacteria
Description: bacterial SSU rRNA
Rfam family: Bacterial small subunit ribosomal RNA
Source: RNAcentral
AUUGAACGCUGGCGGCGUGCUUAACACAUGCAAGUCGAGCGGUAACAGGCGUAGCAAUACGUGCUGACGAGCGGCGAACGGGUGCGUAAUACAUCGGAAUCUGCCUCGUAGUGGGGAAUAACCCGGCGAAAGCCGGGCUAAUGCCGCAUACGAUCCACGGAUGAAAGCGGGGGACCGUAAGGCCUCGCGCUAUGAGAUGAGCCGAUGUCGGAUUAGCUAGNGGUGAGGUAAUGGCUCACCAAGGCGACGAUCCGUAGCUGGUCUGAGAGGACGGCCAGCCACACUGGGACUGAGACACGGCCCAGACUCCUACGGGAGGCAGCAGUGGGGAAUAUUGGACAAUGGGGGAAACCCUGAUCCAGCGACGCCGCGUGUGUGAAGAAGGCCUGCGGGUUGUAAAGCAC